CCCUUAGAUGUCCUGGGCCGCACGCGCGUUACACUGAUGCAUUCAACGAGCUUAUAACCUUGGCCGAGAGGCCUGGGCAAUCUUGUUAACGUGCAUCGUGAUAGGGAUAGAUUAUUGAAAUUAUUAAUCUUGAACGAGGAAUUCCUAGUAAACGCAGAUCAUCAAUCUGCAUUGAUUACGUCCCUGCCCUUUGUACACACCGCCCGUCGCACCUACCGAUUGGAUGGUCCGGUGAGGACUCAGGAUGCCUUUUGUCUCGGUUCGCCGUACAAAAGUGUCAGAAUUUGUUCAAACCUUAUCAUUUAAAGGAAGGAGAAGUCGUAACA
This 326-nucleotide ribosomal RNA is filed under the name uncultured eukaryote. Its description in RNAcentral is "partial 18S ribosomal RNA". It matches the Rfam family "Eukaryotic small subunit ribosomal RNA", at positions 1470 to 1796 of the family's 1831-position model. The record is from RNAcentral.